Molecule: transfer RNA, 47 nt
Filed under: Pinus torreyana subsp. insularis
Lineage: Eukaryota; Viridiplantae; Streptophyta; Pinopsida; Pinales; Pinaceae
Also listed under: 1 other name
Description: partial tRNA-Ile
Source: RNAcentral
CGCCCCUGAUANGGGCGAGGUCUCUGGUUCAAGUCCAGGAUAGCCCA